GAUGAACGCUGGCGGUAUGCCUAACACAUGCAAGUCGUACGAGAGUUUUUAACUCUAGUGGCGGACGGGUGAGUAACACGUGAGAAUUUGCCUUUAGGAGGGGGACAACAAUCGGAAACGAAUGCUAAUACCCCAUAUGCUUUCGAGUGAAAUGGAUUUUAUCCGCCUAGAGAGAAGCUCGCGGCUGAUUAGCUUGUUGGUAAGGUAAGAGCUUACCAAGGCGACGAUCAGUAUCUGGUUUGAGAGGACGAUCAGACACACUGGAACUGAGACACGGUCCAGACUCCUACGGGAGGCAGCAGUGGGGAAUUUUCCGCAAUGGGCGAAAGCCUGACGGAGCAAUACCGCGUGAGGGAAGAAUGCCUAUGGGUUGUAAACCUUCUUUUUCAGGGAGGAACAAAAUGACGUGUACCUGAAGAAUAAGCAUCGGCUAACUCCGUG
RNAcentral lists this ribosomal RNA (441 nucleotides) under uncultured bacterium. RNAcentral describes it as "bacterial SSU rRNA". It matches the Rfam family "Bacterial small subunit ribosomal RNA", at positions 28 to 507 of the family's 1533-position model. The record is from RNAcentral.